UACGAAGGGGGCUAGCGUUGUUCGGAAUUACUGGGCGUAAAGCGCGCGUAGGCGGUGAUCUGUGUCAGAGGUGAAAGCCCGGGGCUCAACUCCGGAAUUGCCUUUGAAACGGGAUCGCUUGAGUCCGAGAGAGGAUGGCGGAAUUCCUAGUGUAGAGGUGAUAUUCGUAGAUAUUAGGAAGAACACCGGUGGCGAAGGCGGCCAUCUGGCUCGGUACUGACGCUCAGGCGCGAAAGCGUGGGGAGCAAACAGG
This 253-nucleotide ribosomal RNA is filed under the name uncultured bacterium. RNAcentral describes it as "partial 16S ribosomal RNA". It matches the Rfam family "Bacterial small subunit ribosomal RNA", at positions 524 to 776 of the family's 1533-position model. The record is from RNAcentral.